GUGAGGAAUAUUGGUCAAUGGGCGCAAGCCUGAACCAGCCAUCCCGCGUGAAGGACGACGGCCCUAUGGGUUGUAAACUUCUUUUGUACGGGAAGCACGUGCGCUAUGUAUAGCGUAUUGACGGUACCGUACGAAUAAGCAUCGUCUAACUCCGUGCCAGCAGCCGCGGUAAUACGGAGGAUGCGAGCGUUAUCCGGAUUCAUUGGGUUUAAAGGGUGCGUAGGCGGCCCGGUAAGUCAGCGGUGAAAGUUUGCGGCUCAACCGUAAAAUUGCCGUUGAUACUGUCGGGCUUGAGUUCAGAUGAAGUGGGCGGAAUGAGUAGUGUAGCGGUGAAAUGCUUAGAUAUUACUCAGAACACCGAUUGCGAAGGCAGCCCACUAAACUGCGACUGACGCUGAUGCACGAAAGCGUGGGGAUCGAACAGGAUUAGAAACCCUGUAGUCC
RNAcentral lists this ribosomal RNA (444 nucleotides) under uncultured bacterium. RNAcentral describes it as "partial 16S ribosomal RNA". It matches the Rfam family "Bacterial small subunit ribosomal RNA", at positions 354 to 796 of the family's 1533-position model. The record is from RNAcentral.